GACGAACGCUGGCGGCGUGCUUAACACAUGCAAGUCGAACGGAAAGGCCCUGCUUUUGUGGGGUGCUCGAGUGGCGAACGGGUGAGUAACACGUGAGUAACCUGCCCUUGACUUUGGGAUAACUUCAGGAAACUGGGGCUAAUACCGGAUAGGAGCUCCUGCUGCAUGGUGGGGGUUGGAAAGUUUCGGCGGUUGGGGAUGGACUCGCGGUUUAUCAGCUUGUUGGUGGGGUAGUGGCUUACCAAGGCUUUGACGGGUAGCCGGCCUGAGAGGGUGACCGGCCACAUUGGGACUGGGAUACGGCCCAGACUCCUACGGGAGGCAGCAGUGGGGAAUAUUGCACAAUGGGCGGAAGCCUGAUGCAGCAACGCCGCGUGCGGGAUGACGGCCUUCGGGUUGUAAACCGCUUUCGCCGGUGACGAAGCGUGAGUGACGGUAAUGGGUAAAGAAGCACCGGCUAACUACGUG
This 468-nucleotide ribosomal RNA is filed under the name uncultured bacterium. RNAcentral's name for it is "partial 16S ribosomal RNA". It matches the Rfam family "Bacterial small subunit ribosomal RNA", at positions 28 to 507 of the family's 1533-position model. The record is from RNAcentral.